ACUAAAUAGGAUUCCCUCAGUAAUGGCGAAUGAACAGGGAUCAGCUCAGCAUGGAAAUUGGGGCCUCUGGCCUUGAAUUGUAGUCUUGAGAUGGCAUCGCCAGCGGAGGCGCAGAUGUAAGCCUCUUGGAAAAGAGCAUCAAUGAGGGUGAGAGUCCCGUUUGUCAUCUGCAGUCCCCCGUGCACGGCUUGCUUUCUAAGAGUCACGUUCCUUGGGAUUGGAGCGCAAAUUGGGUGGUAAAUUUCAUCUAAAGCUAAAUAUUGGUUCGAGACCGAUAGCAAACAAGUACCAUGAGGGAAAGGUGAAAAGGACUUUGAAAAGAGAGUUAAAAGUGCCUGAAAUUGCUGAAAGGGAAGCGAAUGGAACCAGUUUUUCUUGGCGAGAUUGUUGCGUGCUAAUGUGAUGGCUUGUUGCUUCAACGCAAGUGUUGCAGCGGGUUUUGAUCUGGACGUGCGCGGUGCUUCUUGCCUUGGGUGUCAACGUCGGUUCAGACUUGAGGAAAACUCCAGGGACAUGGUAAGUCACUUCUGGGUGACUGAAAGUGCUUGGCAGAACUCAUUUCUGAACUGAAUUCCGCGUGUCUGGUCGCAGUGCUUUCACUUCCCGUGCUUCGUUCGGAGCUCUCUGGGCUCUGAGCUGGGCUGGGACGUGGGGCAUCUCCCUGACAUCAGUACGAUGACAAAAUGGUUUUAUUCGACCCGUCUUGAAACACGGACCAAGGAGUCUAACAUAUGUGCAAGUUCACGGGUGUUAAACCUGCUUGCGCAAUGAAAGUGACUGCUGGGAUAUUUGCACCAGCAACCGACCAAUCAAUUGUGAGAGGUUUGAGUAUGAGCAUAUCUGUUAGGACCCGAAAGAUGGUGAACUAUGCCUGAGAAGGGCGAAGUCAGGGGAAACUCUGAUGGAGGCUCGUAGCGAUACUGACGUGCAAAUCGUUCGUCAUACUUGGGUAUAGGGGCGAAAGACUAAUCGAA
This 974-nucleotide ribosomal RNA is filed under the name Takayama acrotrocha. Its description in RNAcentral is "partial large subunit ribosomal RNA". It matches the Rfam family "Eukaryotic large subunit ribosomal RNA", at positions 64 to 939 of the family's 3401-position model. Lineage: Eukaryota; Dinophyceae; Gymnodiniales; Kareniaceae. The record is from RNAcentral.